Molecule: long non-coding RNA, 1289 nt
Organism: Acinonyx jubatus (cheetah)
Lineage: Eukaryota; Metazoa; Chordata; Mammalia; Carnivora; Felidae
Exons: 2
Source: RefSeq, a predicted model, not a curated record
GCUCCUGCCGUGAGGGGCCCCUCUGAGCAGCCUCGCCCAGCACAAGCCGGCUGCCCUGCCCUUCCCGUCCCCCCUCCCCCCACCAAGCUGCCCCGAGGCCCAGCGUCCAGGGGCUGGGGGCAGGAGGGCUCAGGGAAGGCAGCAGGCAGGGGUCCCCCAGGAGCACAGUCUCGCUCUCAGGCACAGGGGGUGUACCCAGCAGUUGUCUGCUGACUCCGCCCUGGGCGUCCUGCUCAGGGCACCCCAGGCACCUGAACGGCCAAUCGCCUGGCCUGGCGCGCCUUCUCCUCCCGGACCUUCCUCCUGGCCGCCUCCUUCUGUUGCUGCAGGUCCGGCAGGUUCCUGUCUCCCAGCUGCUGCCGCUGUUCCUGUGGAACCACAGCUGGUUUGAUGGCGAAGGGUCGUACGACUGGCAGUGUGACCCAGAUUUAGAGCAUUUCUGUCACCCCCGGAAGGACCCCCUUCUGCAGCCACGGGCCCCAGGCAGCUGUGGCUCUAUUUCUGCCUUCUCCCGAUUUGCCUCUUCCUGACAUUUUCUUAAGUGGAAAUUUCUAUCAGGGGAGCUUCAGGCUCCCUCCCGGCCCCCCGCCCGCGGUCACCUCUCAGCCUCCUCCUCUGUCACCUCCUUCCGUCUGAGCAGACCCGGGGUGGCCCCGGCGUUGUUCUGGGCCACGUGGUUGCUGCUGGAAAAGUUCUUGUGUGGCUUCCCGGAGCCGCCACUCUCCCCCUCACCGGUGGCCGCCUUGAGGAUAUUGCUAACGGGAAGAGAAGAAGGGGCUCGCUGCGCCGGCCCAGGCCCACUCACGGCCCCGGUGGGCAGCUCUGCCUUCGAGAAGCGGGGCUGCCUCAGCCCCAUCCCAGGGCCUUGGGCCUGGAAGGACACACCCACAGGACAUUGGGAGUGGGCACGGCCCCCGGUUCCCACACGCUAGUCGAUCCCCAGGACCACCUGCCCCCCACACAGGGCCCACGUCGUGGGUUACUGGGCUCUUUCCGUUACAAAAAGCAAAGAGGUCUGGGGCAUCUGGGUAGCUCAGGCAGUUAAGCAUCCCACUCUCGACUUGGGCUCAGGUCACGAUCUCAUGGUUCAUGAGGUUGAGCCUCGUGUCGGGUUCUGUUGAUAGUGUGGAGUCUGCUUGGGAUCCUCUCUCUCUCUCUCUCUCUCUCUCUCUCUCUCUCUCUCUCUCUCUGUCUGCUCCUUCCCCCAACCCUGUACAUAUGUGCACAUGCCCACAAGCACAUGCCCACGUGUGUCGCUCUCUCUCAAAAUAAAUAAACAAAAAAAAUAA